GCCUUCGUGGUGUAGUGGUCAACAUGCUCGACACAUAACCAAGAGAUCCUUGGUUCGAUUCCCGGCGAAGGCG
Molecule: transfer RNA, 73 nt
Filed under: Stegodyphus mimosarum
Lineage: Eukaryota; Metazoa; Arthropoda; Arachnida; Araneae; Eresidae
Rfam family: tRNA
About the family: Transfer RNA (tRNA) molecules are approximately 80 nucleotides in length. Their secondary structure includes four short double-helical elements and three loops (D, anti-codon, and T loops).
Source: Rfam by way of RNAcentral